Molecule: ribosomal RNA, 253 nt
Filed under: uncultured bacterium
Lineage: Bacteria
Description: partial 16S ribosomal RNA
Rfam family: Bacterial small subunit ribosomal RNA
Source: RNAcentral
UACGGAGAGCGCAGGCAUUAAUCGGAAUUAUUGGGCGUAAAGGGCGCGUAGGCGGGACGGUCAGUCAGAUGUGAAAUUCCGAAGCUCAACUUCGGAGCUGCAUUUGAAACUGCCAUUCUAGAGGGUAGACGGAGAAAAUGGAAUUCCACGUGUAGCGGUGAAAUGCGUAGAUAUGUGGAAGAACACCGGUGGCGAAAGCGGUUUUCUAGUUUAUACCUGACGCUGAGGCGCGAGAGCAAGGGGAGCAAACAGG